CCUACGGGCGGCAGCAGUGGGGAAUAUUGCGCAAUGGGCGAAAGCCUGACGCAGCGACGCCGCGUGAGGGAUGAAGGUCUUCGGAUCGUAAACCUCUGUCAGCAGGGAAGAACGGUCACUGUGCUAAUCAGCAGUGAAUUGACGGUACCUGCAAAGGAAGCACCGGCUAACUCCGUGCCAGCAGCCGCGGUAAUACGGAGGGUGCGAGCGUUAAUCGGAAUUACUGGGCGUAAGGCGCUCGUAGGCGGUAUGUCAAGUCAAGGGUGAAAUCCCCGCGCUCAACGUGGGAACUGCCUUGGAAACUGGCAAACUGGAGUGUGGGAGAGGAUAGUGGAAUUCCAGGUGUAGGAGUGAAAUGCGUAGAUAUCUGGAGGAACAUCAGUGGCGAAGGCGACUAUCUGGCACAUAACUGACGCUGAGGAGCGAAAGCGUGGGUAGCAAACAGGAUUAGAUACCCCUGUAGUC
Molecule: ribosomal RNA, 465 nt
Filed under: uncultured bacterium
Lineage: Bacteria
Description: partial 16S ribosomal RNA
Rfam family: Bacterial small subunit ribosomal RNA
Source: RNAcentral